Molecule: ribosomal RNA, 253 nt
Filed under: uncultured bacterium
Lineage: Bacteria
Description: partial 16S ribosomal RNA
Rfam family: Bacterial small subunit ribosomal RNA
Source: RNAcentral
GACAGAGGUCCCGAGCGUUAGGCGGAAUCACUGGGCUUAAAGCGUGUGUAGGCGGACUUCUAAGUACCUUGUGAAAUCCCACGGCUCAACCGUGGAACUGCUUGGUAUACUGGUUGUCUUGGGCCAUCUAGGGGCGAGCGGAACAAACGGUGGAGCGGUGAAAUGCGUAGAUAUCAGGAGGAACACCGGUGGCGAAGGCGGCCCUCUGGACGGAUACUGACGCUGAGGCGCGAAAGCGUGGGGAUCAAACAGG